ACGGGGCCCGCACAAGCGGUGGAGCAUGUGGUUUAAUCGAAGCAACGCGAAGAACCUUACCAGGUCUUGACAUCCCGAUGCUAUUUCUAGAGAUAGAAAGUUACUUCGGUACAUCGGUGACAGGUGGUGCAUGGUUGUCGUCAGCUCGUGUCGUGAGAUGUUGGGUUAAGUCCCGCAACGAGCGCAACCCCUAUUGUUAGUUGCCAUCAUUCAGUUGGGCACUCUAGCGAGACUGCCGGUAAUAAACCGGAGGAAGGUGGGAUGACGUCAAAUCAUCAUGCCCCUUAUGACCUGGGCUACACACGUGCUACAAUGGUUGGUACAACGAGUUGCGAGUCGGUGACGGCGAGCUAAUCUCUUAAAGCCAAUCUCAGUUCGGAUUGUAGGCUGCAACUCGCCUACAUGAAGUCGGAAUCGCUAGUAAUCGCGGAUCAGCACGCCGCGGUGAAUACGUUCCCGGGCCUU
Molecule: ribosomal RNA, 465 nt
Filed under: uncultured Streptococcus sp.
Lineage: Bacteria; Bacillati; Bacillota; Bacilli; Lactobacillales; Streptococcaceae
Description: bacterial SSU rRNA
Rfam family: Bacterial small subunit ribosomal RNA
Source: RNAcentral